This 492-nucleotide ribosomal RNA is filed under the name uncultured bacterium. RNAcentral describes it as "partial 16S ribosomal RNA". It matches the Rfam family "Bacterial small subunit ribosomal RNA", at positions 29 to 507 of the family's 1533-position model. The record is from RNAcentral.
AGUGAACGCUGGCGGUAGGCCUAACACAUGCAAGUCGAACGGCAGCACAGUAAGAGCUUGCUCUUACGGGUGGCGAGUGGCGGACGGGUGAGGAAUACAUCGGAAUCUACUUUUUCGUGGGGGAUAACGUAGGGAAACUUACGCUAAUACCGCAUACGACCUACGGGUGAAAGCAGGGGAUCUUCGGACCUUGCGCGUUUGAAUGAGCCGAUGUCGGAUUAGCUAGUUGGCGGGGUAAAGGCCCACCAAGGCGACGAUCCGUAGCUGGUCUGAGAGGAUGAUCAGCCACACUGGAACUGAGACACGGUCCAGACUCCUACGGGAGGCAGCAGUGGGGAAUAUUGGACAAUGGGCGCAAGCCUGAUCCAGCCAUACCGCGUGGGUGAAGAAGGCCUUCGGGUUGCAAAGCCCUUUUGUUGGGAAAGAAAAGCAGCAGGUUAAUACCCCGCUGUUCUGACGGUACCCAAAGAAUAAGCACCGGCUAACUUCGUG